RNAcentral lists this ribosomal RNA (253 nucleotides) under uncultured bacterium. RNAcentral describes it as "partial 16S ribosomal RNA". It matches the Rfam family "Bacterial small subunit ribosomal RNA", at positions 524 to 776 of the family's 1533-position model. The record is from RNAcentral.
GACGAAGGAUGCAAGCGUUAUCCGGAAUCAUUGGGUUUAAAGGGUGCGUAGGCGGUCUUAUAAGUCAGUGGUGAAAUCUCUCAGCUUAACUGAGAAACUGCCAUUGAUACUGUAGGACUUGAGUACAGAUGAUGUUGGCGGAAUAUGACAUGUAGCGGUGAAAUGCAUAGAUAUGUCAUAGAACACCGAUUGCGAAGGCAGCUGACAAAACUGUAACUGACGCUGAGGCACGAAAGUGUGGGGAUCAAACAGG